CAAUAGCGUAUAUUAAAGUUGUUGCGGUUAAAAGCUCGUAGUUGGAUUUCUGUGGUAGGCAGCCGGUCCGCACUAUGUGCGAGUAUCUGGUUCGGCUACUGCAUCCUCCUGAAGAACGUUGGCGCGCUUCACUGCGUGGCACGGUAUUCAGGACUUUUACUUUGAGGAAAUUAGAGUGUUCACGGCAGGCGCUUGCCCUGAAUAUAUUAGCAUGGAAUAAUGAUAUAGGAUCCAGGUCCUAUUUUGUUGGUUUCUAGGACCAGGAUAAUGGUUAAUAGGGAUAAUUGGGGGCACUCGUAUCAUGACGUCAGGAGGUAGGAAUUCGUUGGUAUUGUCAUGCGACGAACUACUGACGAAAGCUAUUUCGACC
Molecule: ribosomal RNA, 370 nt
Filed under: uncultured eukaryote
Lineage: Eukaryota
Description: bacterial SSU rRNA
Rfam family: Eukaryotic small subunit ribosomal RNA
Source: RNAcentral